AGCAGCCGCGGUAAUUCCAGCUCCAAUAGCGUAUAUUAAAGUUGCUGCAGUUAAAAAGCUCGUAGUUGAAUUUCGGGACCAUCAUGUCGGUCGUGCCUCGGUACGUACUGGCAUUGUUGGUUUCUACCUUCUGACGAACCAUGAUGUCAUUUAUUUGGUGUCGUGGGAAAUCAGGACUGUUACUUUGAAAAAUUAGAGUGUUUAAAGCAGGCUCACGCUUGAAUACAUUAGCAUGGAAUAAUGAAAUAGGACGUUUGAUUCUAUUUUGUUGGUUUCUAGGAUCGACGUAAUGAUUAAUAGGGAUAGUUGGGGGCAUUAGUAUUCAAUUGUCAGAGGUGAAAUUCUUGGAUUUAUUGAAGACUAACUACUGCGAAAGCAUUUGCCAAGGAUGUUUUCAUUAAUCAAGAACGAAAGUUAGGGGAUCGAAGACGAUCAGAUACCGUCGUAGUCUUAACCAUAAACUAUGCCGACUAGGGAUCGGAUGAUGUAAUUUUUAAUGA
RNAcentral lists this ribosomal RNA (500 nucleotides) under uncultured Glomus. RNAcentral's name for it is "SSU rRNA". It matches the Rfam family "Eukaryotic small subunit ribosomal RNA", at positions 569 to 1075 of the family's 1831-position model. Lineage: Eukaryota; Fungi; Glomeromycota; Glomeromycetes; Glomerales; Glomeraceae. The record is from RNAcentral.